Molecule: ribosomal RNA, 535 nt
Filed under: Lasiodiplodia theobromae
Lineage: Eukaryota; Fungi; Ascomycota; Dothideomycetes; Botryosphaeriales; Botryosphaeriaceae
Description: eukaryotic LSU rRNA
Rfam family: 5.8S ribosomal RNA (bases 170-323)
Source: RNAcentral
CUUCCGUAGGUGAACCUGCGGAAGGAUCAUUACCGAGUUUUCGGGCUUCGGCUCGACUCUCCCACCCUUUGUGAACGUACCUCUGUUGCUUUGGCGGCUCCGGCCGCCAAAGGACCUCCAAACUCCAGUCAGUAAACGCAGACGUCUGAUAAACAAGUUAAUAAACUAAAACUUUCAACAACGGAUCUCUUGGUUCUGGCAUCGAUGAAGAACGCAGCGAAAUGCGAUAAGUAAUGUGAAUUGCAGAAUUCAGUGAAUCAUCGAAUCUUUGAACGCACAUUGCGCCCCUUGGUAUUCCGGGGGGCAUGCCUGUUCGAGCGUCAUUACAACCCUCAAGCUCUGCUUGGAAUUGGGCACCGUCCUCACUGCGGACGCGCCUCAAAGACCUCGGCGGUGGCUGUUCAGCCCUCAAGCGUAGUAGAAUACACCUCGCUUUGGAGUGGUUGGCGUCGCCCGCCGGACGAACCUUCUGAACUUUUCUCAAGGUUGACCUCGGAUCAGGUAGGGAUACCCGCUGAACUUAAGCAUAUCAAUA